GGGGAUUUAGCUCAGUGGCAUAAGCGCCUGCCUGGCAAGCAUGAGGUCCUGAGUUCGAGCCCUGGUAGCCCCC
Molecule: transfer RNA, 73 nt
Filed under: Cavia porcellus (domestic guinea pig)
Lineage: Eukaryota; Metazoa; Chordata; Mammalia; Rodentia; Caviidae
Rfam family: tRNA
About the family: Transfer RNA (tRNA) molecules are approximately 80 nucleotides in length.
Source: Rfam by way of RNAcentral